This is a long non-coding RNA of Gasterosteus aculeatus aculeatus (three-spined stickleback), 943 nucleotides long. Lineage: Eukaryota; Metazoa; Chordata; Actinopteri; Perciformes; Gasterosteidae. The record is from Ensembl.
GUUCCGUAUGAGUGUUUGUGUGAGUGUUUGUGUGUGCGUGGGUGUUUGUGUGUGUGCAUGAGUCAGCGGUUGGAGGUUAGCUGUAGUUGCUGAGAGACACCCAAUCGUCAAGUAAGGACACAGGCCUGCCGGAACAUCGCCAAGGGCAAAGUGACCCGGAUGAUGAGCGCUGGCUGCCUCCGAGUCUGCUCGCCGUUCAAUCAGCCUGUCUCUCAUUAUGGAGAGCGGCCCGGGCCUCCAACUGCGCGGUGUCGGCGUUGGCUACCAGCCGGGGAACGCGGGAGCAGCGAGGUGAAGCUGUGCAUCUGGCUUCAAUAGGAGGACGCCACGGUGCAGGAGCAGAGCCCUCCAAUUCCCACCGGGGCUCCGACUGCCAGUCGAAGGCUCUGAGUACGUCUGCGAUGGACCGGAUGUUUACAGGAUCGUCUGACCUGCAGGAGCUUUUGGUCAGCGAGAUAACCGCUGGCCUCUUGUCCGAUCCCACCAAGUAGCUGACAUGUCACUCCAACCUGCAGGCCCCGCCCACCCUCCAUCAACACCACUGGGUGUGUUGAGUCGUCAGGUGUCUGGGUAACAUCGCACACACACACAUGAUCGCACACACAAACACAAAUCAAACUCCUUUUGCUUCAGUGGAGAUUUAACCUGGAAUUUUUCACGCCGCCGUCCCUUUAAAAAUCACAUCCAGAUCUGAAAAUAGAUCAGCUUCUGUUCCAAUGUGUUAUCCUCCUCAGCUGUCUGUCAUUACAUCCUCCUCCACUGCUUGACGUCAGCCAGGCUGCGUUUACACCCAGCCGGCACAAACUCCUCGAAUAAUCUAUAACACCUGUAAAUAUGACACAGCAGAUGGUAUUGAUUCAACUGUGGAUGUUUUUUUUGUUUUUUAAAGUAUGCUGUCAGUGUAUAAGAUAUAUAUCGCCUUAAAAAUCACCUUACCCUCAAC